This 253-nucleotide ribosomal RNA is filed under the name uncultured bacterium. Its description in RNAcentral is "partial 16S ribosomal RNA". It matches the Rfam family "Bacterial small subunit ribosomal RNA", at positions 524 to 776 of the family's 1533-position model. The record is from RNAcentral.
UACGUAGGGGGCAAGCGUUGUCCGGAUUUAUUGGGCGUAAAGAGCGUGUAGGCGGUCAGGUAGGUCCGUUGUGAAAACUCGAGGCUCAACCUCGAGACGCCGAUGGAAACCAUCUGGCUAGAGUCCGGAAGAGGAGAGUGGAAUUCCUGGUGUAGCGGUGAAAUGCGCAGAUAUCAGGAAGAACACCCGUGGCGAAGGCGGCUCUCUGGGACGGUACUGACGCUGAGACGCGAAAGCGUAGGGAGCGAACAGG